AACGAACGCUGGCGGCAGGCCUAACACAUGCAAGUCGAGCGAGGACUUCGGUUCUAGCGGCGGACGGGUGAGUAACGCGUGGGAAUGUGCCCUUCUCUACGGAAUAGCCCUGGGAAACUGGGAGUAAUACCGUAUACGCCCUAUUGGGGAAAGAUUUAUCGGAGAAGGAUCAGCCCGCGUUGGAUUAGGUAGUUGGUGGGGUAAUGGCCUACCAGGCCGACGAUCCAUAGCUGGUUUGAGAGGAUGAUCAGCCACACUGGGACUGAGACACGGCCCAGACUCCUACGGGAGGCAGCAGUGGGGAAUCUUAGACAAUGGGGGCAACCCUGAUCUAGCCAUGCCGCGUGAGUGAUGAAGGCCUUAGGGUUGUAAAGCUCUUUCAGCUGGGAAGAUAAUGACGGUACCAGCAGAAGAAGCCCCGGCUAACUCCGUG
Molecule: ribosomal RNA, 433 nt
Filed under: uncultured bacterium
Lineage: Bacteria
Description: partial 16S ribosomal RNA
Rfam family: Bacterial small subunit ribosomal RNA
Source: RNAcentral